AAUUCCUACGGGGGGCAGCAGUGGGGAAUAUUGCACAAUGGGGGAAACCCUGAUGCAGCAACGCCGCGUGAGUGAAGGAGUAUCUCGGUAUGUAAAGCUCUAUCAGCAGGGAAGAAAAUGACGGUACCUGACUAAGAAGCCCCGGCUAACUACGUGCCAGCAGCCGCGGUAAUACGUAGGGGGCAAGCGUUAUCCGGAUUUACUGGGUGUAAAGGGAGCGUAGACGGUGUGGCAAGUCUGAAGUGAAAGCCCGGG
Molecule: ribosomal RNA, 255 nt
Filed under: uncultured bacterium
Lineage: Bacteria
Description: partial 16S ribosomal RNA
Rfam family: Bacterial small subunit ribosomal RNA
Source: RNAcentral